RNAcentral lists this ribosomal RNA (743 nucleotides) under uncultured bacterium. RNAcentral describes it as "bacterial SSU rRNA". It matches the Rfam family "Bacterial small subunit ribosomal RNA", at positions 103 to 863 of the family's 1533-position model. The record is from RNAcentral.
CGGGUGAGUAACACGUAGUUAACCUACCCUUAAGCGGGGGAUAACCCGGGGAAACUCGGACUAAUACCGCAUAAGACCACGAGUUGGGAUACUAGUGGUAAAAGGAGCAAUUCACUUAAGGAUGGGACUGCGGCCUAUCAGGUAGUUGGUGGGGUAACGGCCCACCAAGCCAACGACGGGUAGCCGGUCUGAGAGGACGAACGGCCACACUGGAACUGAGAGACGGUCCAGACUCCUACGGGAGGCAGCAGUGGGGAAUCUUGCACAAUGGGCGAAAGCCUGAUGCAGCGACGCCGCGUGGAGGAUGAAGGUUUUCGGAUUGUAAACUCCUUUUGCAGGGGAAGAUAAUGACGGUACCCUGCGAAUAAGCCACGGCUAACUCUGUGCCAGCAGCCGCGGUAAGACAGAGGUGGCGAGCGUUGUUCGGAAUUACUGGGCUUAAAGGGCGCGUAGGCGGUGGCGCAAGUCUGAGGUGGAAUGCUACGGCUUAACCGUAGAGCUGCCUUGGAAACUGCGUUACUUGAGUCGGUUAGGGGAUGGCGGAAUUCCUGGUGUAGCGGUGAAAUGCGUAGAUAUCAGGAGGAAGGUCUGUGGCGAAGGCGGCCCUCUGGGAUUUGACUGACGCUGAGGCGCGAAAACGUGGGGAGCAAACAGGAUUAGAUACCCUGGUAGUCCACGCCCUAAACGGUGGGUACUAGGUGUGGGGCCGCCGAGAGUUUCUGUGCCGAAGCGAAAGCCAUUAA